UAAUACAGGAUAUUUGCCAAAAAUGCAC
Molecule: non-coding RNA, 28 nt
Filed under: Bombyx mori (domestic silkworm)
Lineage: Eukaryota; Metazoa; Arthropoda; Insecta; Lepidoptera; Bombycidae
Source: RNAcentral